Molecule: ribosomal RNA, 784 nt
Filed under: uncultured bacterium
Lineage: Bacteria
Description: bacterial SSU rRNA
Rfam family: Bacterial small subunit ribosomal RNA
Source: RNAcentral
GGAUGGGGACAACAGCCCGAAAGGGUUGCUAAUACCGAAUAAGAUGGUAGUUGCGCAGGCAGCAGCCAUUAAAGGCGGGGACCGCAAGGCCUGCCGCCUGAAGAUGAGUCCGCGUCCCAUUAGCUAGCUGGUAGGGUAAAGGCCUACCAGGGCAACGAUGGGUAGCCGGCCUGAGAGGGUGAACGGCCACAUUGGGACUGAGACGCGGCCCAGACUCCUACGGGAGGCAGCAGUUAAGAAUUUUGCGCAAAUGGGGGCAACCCUAACGCAGCGACGCCGCGUGAAUGAUAAAGGCCUUCGGGUUGUAAAAUCCAAUAAGCAGGGAAGAUAAUCAGCGGGUAAUAUUCGCUGUGAUGACGGUACCUGCCUAAAGCCCCGGCUAACUACGUGCCAGCAGCCGCGGUAAUACGUAUGGGGCGAGCGUUGUUCGGAUUUAUUGGGCGUAAAGGGAGCUCAGGCGGGGGAUUAAGUUAAGAUGUGAAAGCCAUGGGCUCAACCCGUGAACUGCAUCUAAAACUGAUUCUCUUGAGUUCGGGAGAGGAGAGCGGAAUUCCCGGUGUAGCGGUGAAAUGCGUAGAUAUCGGGAAGAACACCAGUGGCGAAGGCGGCUCUCUGGCUUAGAACUGACGCUGAAGCUCGAAAGCGUGGGUAGCGAACGGGAUUAGAUACCCCGGUAGUCCACGCCGUAAACGUUGUGUACUAGGUGUAGGUAGGUUUCCUACCUGUGCCGUAGCUAACGCAUUAAGUACACCGCCUGGGGAGUACGGUCGCAAGACUGAAACUC